UUCAAUUCCAGUUAUUUAUUUUUUUCGUUACCAUAUAGAACAAUUAUACAUAUUUUUAAAUUAAUGUUGGAAAUUGAUUUCAAAAUGUAAUUAACUCAUUGUCGCCCGUAUUUAUGGUUAUAGAUCAGAGAGUAGAAGAUGGACAAGAGAUACAUGACCCUAUGAGUAUGUUCUGAGUGUGGGUAACAAGAAGAAAUUGUGAGAAAUAAGGAUAAUGAAAAUGAUAGAAAGGUAUUAGUAAUUCAAAUUCGUAACAAACGCUCGAUAAACUUUAUUUUUCCGUAUAUCACAUGGCACGAUCGGGAGCUUCCGAUCAAACGCAUAUAUAGCGAUCUGCAACGGUCGUAAUUUCCAUGUGCAUGCGUGUCAGAGCAUUAGAAAAAAUGUGUUAUUAGACGUGGCUUUCGCAAAACUCUCGAGUAUAAGAGAAUAUAUCGUCUCGACAUAGUAGGUCUUCGCUGCAAGCCCAGUAAGGCUGUGCUAUUAAGGCACUCUAUGCCAGGAAUAUGUUCAAAGUGCACGAGCGGUAUAAACAUGAUUCAUGAAAUAUAUAAUGUAUAUAUAAUAGAUAUCUCUAUAAAAGAAACGAAAGUACAUUGUAUGACAAAUGGUAAAUAAACAUACAUACAUAUGCAGACUCGUAGUUCAAGGGAAAUUAAAACUAGGCGUAUCCUAAAAAUAAUUGGACGGCGGUCUAUAACGUAUACCUACUUUAAUUGCGAUCCGUUUCCGUUUAGUUGUUCUGGGUGAUAAAGGGGAAUGUAUGCGAGAAUUCUUUUUGUAACGUUACUUUAGUUAGCGUGAAAAGACAAUUUAGAGACUCACAGAGGAUAUCAUUA
This is a long non-coding RNA of Bombus impatiens (common eastern bumble bee), 839 nucleotides long. RefSeq lists it as uncharacterized. The transcript has 2 exons. NCBI's taxonomy places the organism in Eukaryota, Metazoa, Arthropoda, Insecta, Hymenoptera, Apidae. The record is from RefSeq and is a predicted model, not a curated record.